RNAcentral lists this ribosomal RNA (457 nucleotides) under Pleuroceras pseudoplatani. RNAcentral describes it as "eukaryotic LSU rRNA". The stretch from base 161 to 314 matches the Rfam family "5.8S ribosomal RNA". Lineage: Eukaryota; Fungi; Ascomycota; Sordariomycetes; Diaporthales; Gnomoniaceae. The record is from RNAcentral.
UAUCUAGAAACCCUUUGUAAAUUUUACUUAAUGUUGCCUCGGCGCAGGUUGGCUUCUUCGGAAGCCCCCCUCCUUCGGUGGGGAAGCAGACCGGCCGGUGGCCCCCUGAAACUAUUGUUUUUGUAAAAUCAUUUGAGUUUAAAAAAAAAAAAUGAAUCAAAACUUUCAACAACGGAUCUCUUGGUUCUGGCAUCGAUGAAGAACGCAGCGAAAUGCGAUAAGUAAUGUGAAUUGCAGAAUUCAGUGAAUCAUCGAAUCUUUGAACGCACAUUGCGCCCGGUGGUAUUCCACCGGGCAUGCCUGUUCGAGCGUCAUUAAAAUACCUCAAAGCCUAGCUUUGGUGUUGGAGGAAGGCCUGUAAAAGGGCCCCCUCCUAAAUGUAGUGGCGGGCUCGCUAGAAAUUUGAGCGUAGUAAUUUUUACGUCGUUUAUAAGGACUAGCGAGACUUCUAGCCAUA